ACGUUUCUAGAACGUCUAGAUGUGGUUCUAAAAUUUCUAGUCUUUCUAUAGCUCUGAAAUUUCGUGUGGCUGAUUUCAUAGGAAGUGUUCAUGGGACUUUUGUGUUGAUGCUGCAUGCUGCAUAUUUAAAUGGGCUAACUUGUCAGUCGAUCCAACGUGUUUCGCCCAGGUAAAUUUAGACUUGACUAUGCGGGUGGUUUUUCAUGGGUGUUGAAAAGCUCCUUAAAAGCUCCCUAGUUGUUGGGCGUAGUGACGCAUACCUGUAAUGUACUCAAGAGAACAGGGCAGGAGAAUUGCUGUGACUUCGGGGCCAGUCGGGUAACAUCAAGAUUACCACAAAAUAUUAUUGUACUAACAGUUAAGUCUCACUACGAAUUACGUAGAUUUCUUUUUGAGACAGCUGGAGGCUGUUUUUGAGAGGCACCUCCUGUCUCCACUUCCCUAGAGCUGAAUUACCUACAGCCUUGUGCCACCACACCCAGCCCAGUUAUCUUCAUAACUUUUGAACAUUAGUAUUUUAGGAAUCUAGAAGGGAGGAGUAUAUUACUGCAAAAAAAACCCCAACGUUGCCUUUGUACUUAAAUGUUUUUACAAACUCAAAUGUCUCCGAAGUACUAGAGAAGAUUAAUCUGGUUGGUUAUAUAAUCUUAAAAGGAUAGCUUUUACCCAACAGGUUUUGCAUUGAAGUUCUUCUAAAUUUUUAUUUCUAGGCCCUUCACAAGUAUUUAGUUCAUACUUCCUACCCAUAGAAGUAGCUUUCCCUUCAUCGUUUAUAUACAGCUUUUAUAUAGCAUUCUAAACAUGAACUGAUUUGAAACUUAACUUUUUACCUGAUGCUUUUAAACUAAGUAAUAGUACAAGGCGGUAAGUGAAAAUUUAAAAGCAGGAAUGCAGUGCUAAUAUAUUUUACAAAAUUGUAGAAGUAUCAUGGUUCACAUAAUAGAAGAGAGUAUUAAGUCUUUUUUUUUUUUUUUUUUUUUUUUGAGACAGGUUUUCUCUAGAACUUGAUAUGUAGACCAGGCUGGCUUCGAACUCACGAGAUCCACCUGCUGCUGCCUCCUGAGCACUGAAGUUAAAGAUAUUCACUACCAUUCCCAGCCUGAUAAUUUAAGUCUUAAUUUUAUAAUGACAAUGCUACCAGUAUGGUCCUGAAUAAGUAGUCCAAAAAUGGAAAGGUUGCACUUCCAUUAGGAAUGUAUUCUCUAACAGUCAGAUUGUGUUUGGUAAACAUUAAUAAUGGUGGUUCUUAAGCAUGAUAUUUUAAUUGAUGGAGUUGAGUGGUUUCACUUAAUAUUCAGUUAUGAACAAAAGGCUCAUUCAGGGCUUGUUGAUAGACACAUAAAAUUGGAGUCUGAAAACUUCAGUUUUGGAGGGGGGAUUUGCCUUAUUUGGAAAUGGAAAUCUGUACAGCUACUUUUAAGAGGAGGAUAAUAUUAGGAAGCAAUUAUGCUUACAUCAUUACAUGGAAAGGAAAUCAGUAUUACUGAUGUCGACUUUGAUUUAUUGAAGAAAUGUGUUUUUAAAAAAAAUGCACCCAAAAAUCUUGUCUCUGAAGACAACACACUAGAGUUGAUUUCUUGCCUGGUAAUUUUUUGAAAUUUGAAAAUUAACAUUUACUAUUUGGGGUUUUUGUGUGUGUGUGUGUGUGUGUGUGUGUGUGGGUGUGUGUGUGUGUGUGUUGGAUCAUGGUCUUGGCACUGUAACCAGGCUGGCCUCCAGCUUUUCCAGCUUCUGUCUCCCAAGUGCUACGACAGCAGGUAAUAUGCCACUAAACAAGCCUGCAUUUAUUUGCUUUUUUAAUGUGGAAAAAUUCGUGUGUAGGAUACAUGAUAGAAGCCCUUAUCAGGUCAGUCUCAUGGUUUUUAGUAUCUCAUACGUCUUUUUUUGUUUUGUUUCUGGCCUCGAACUCAGAAAUCCCGCCUGCUUCUGUCUCCCGAUUGCUGGGAUUAAAGGCAUGCGCUACCAUGCCCAGCUGGUCAUACAUCUUUAAGAGUUAAGAUAGAUGCAGACUAGCUUCUAACAAAUUCUGAAAAGUGGAAUCUUAACAAACGACAAAAAUCUAGUACUUGUGUUAAUAAGAUCAGGUAUCAGAUAAUGGUUUGUUAGGUGUCCUUAGUAUAUCUGAACAGAAUAUGUUCUCUUAGUUCUAAAAUUCCUUUUUGUUUUAUUUUUUAAACUGGGUUCCAUUGUGUAGAUCAGGCUGACCUCAGUCUUAGACUCCUGUUGCUGCUGCCUCCCCAACACUGGGAUUAAAGGCAUGCAACACCACACCCAGUUCUUCUGAAAU
Molecule: long non-coding RNA, 2287 nt
Filed under: Mus musculus (house mouse)
Lineage: Eukaryota; Metazoa; Chordata; Mammalia; Rodentia; Muridae
Description: long non-coding RNA chr18:35563408-35565695
Source: RNAcentral